AACUUUUGACAAUGGAUCACUUGGUUCCCGCAUCGAUGAAGAACGCAGCGAAACGCGAUAGUUAAUGUGAAUUGCAGAAUACAGUGAAUCAUCGAGUCUUUGAACGCACAUUGCGCCUUCCGGUAUUCCGGGAGGCACGUCCGUUUGAGCGUCAUUAAAAACCUUCCGGUCCGCGGAUUUUUCGGAUUCCGCAGGCACGGGUUGCUGGCGCGGGGAUGCCGGCCGCCGCGCUCCGGCGCGGCCUGGCCCUCCCCCGCUUAAACGCGGAGAAAAGCUAGCGGGCAGGUGCCCCCAUCGCGAACGACUCGUAGUACACUCCCUGUCGUUGCCAGCCUUGGGACACGCCCCGCCUAUUCCAACCGCGGGUGUGAAACCACCCCCAGAACUCUUGACCUCAAAUCGGACGAGGAUACCCGCUGAACUUAAGCAUAUCAAUAAGCGGAGGCU
RNAcentral lists this unclassified non-coding RNA (447 nucleotides) under uncultured fungus. RNAcentral's name for it is "sequence contains ITS2". The stretch from base 1 to 154 matches the Rfam family "5.8S ribosomal RNA". Lineage: Eukaryota; Fungi. The record is from RNAcentral.